AGAGUUUGAUCAUGGCUCAGAAUGAACGCUGGCGGCGUGCUUAACACAUGCAAAUCGUGCGCGAAAGCGGCUUCGGCCGCGUGUAGAGCGGCGAACGGGUGAGUAACACGUGGACAACCUGCCCAAGAGUGGGGGAUAACCUGGGGAAACUCGGGCUAAUACCGCAUACGUUCGUGGGGUUUCGGCCCUGCGCAGAAAGGUGGCCUAUGCUUGCAAGCCACCGCUCCUGGAGGGGUCCGCGUCUGAUUAGCUAGUUGGCGGGGUAAUGGCCCACCAAGGCGACGAUCAGUAGCCGGCCUGAGAGGGUGAUCGGCCACACUGGAACUGAGACACGGUCCAGACUCCUACGGGAGGCAGCAGUGGGGAAUAUUGGACAAUGGGGGAAACCCUGAUCCAGCAACGCCGCGUGGAGGAUGAAGGUCUUCGGAUUGUAAACUCCUGUUAGGGGGGACGAAGGGAUGUCGGUGAACAGCCGGCAAACUUGACGGUACCCCCAGAGGAAGCCCCGGCUAACUCUGUGCCAGCAGCCGCGGUAAUACAGAGGGGGCAAGCGUUAUUCGGAAUUAUUGGGCGUAAAGGGCGCGUAGGCGGCCUUGUAAGUCUUGGGUGAAAUCCCUCAGCUCAACUGAGGAACUGCCUCGGAAACUGCAAGGCUUGAGGCCGGGAGAGGGUAGUGGAAUUCCCAGUGUAGCGGUGAAAUGCGUAGAUAUUGGGAGGAACACCGGUGGCGAAGGCGGCUACCUGGACCGGUUCUGACGCUGAUGCGCGAAAGCGUGGGUAGCAAACAGGAUUAGAUACCCUGGUAGUCCACGCUGUAAACGAUGGGUGCUCGGUGUCGCGGGUAUCGACCCCUGCGGUGCCUUAGUUAACACGUUAAGCACCCCGCCUGGGGAGUACGGUCGCAAGGCUGAAA
This 913-nucleotide ribosomal RNA is filed under the name uncultured bacterium. RNAcentral describes it as "bacterial SSU rRNA". It matches the Rfam family "Bacterial small subunit ribosomal RNA", at positions 8 to 899 of the family's 1533-position model. The record is from RNAcentral.